UUCCAGCAUAAGUGCUUCCAUAUACAAAGCCUUGAUUACUUGGCUUUUCCUAAUCAACCUUCAGAAGUCACUCAAUGUUAAUUCUGUCAAUUCUAUUAGUAACAAGGGAGUUCCAAGCCCACCCGGUUUCAAAGGGAGGGAUCAUGGAUUUCACCUCUCAAUGAGAGGAAUGUCAUCGUGACAUUGUGGAAGAGAAUGUUGGAUGAGAAAUAUUGCUACUGCCAACUUUGGAAAAUACAAUCUGAAUCUGCCAUAGCCACUAAGAGAAAAACAAUGUCCUCAUAAUUUGUGCGUUUGUAAACUACGGAGUCCAGGGAUUUGUCUAAAGUCCCUCUGUUAGAGGCAGAGGUAGAAAGACAACAUAUAUCUCCUAAUUCCCUCUCAUUUUUUUUUUGUUUGUCAACAGGUUUCUAGAAGAAAAUUCAGGACCUAGAAACAGUUAAUAUAAGUUGUAUCCUUGGGAAUUUCCAAGCAUACCAAAUGACUACCAGGCAAGAGAAUGUUAAGCUAUACCAGACAAUUUAAUCACCUGCAUCCAGGAUAUGAAAUCCAGAAGUUUCAAUACUAUUAGCAGACUCUGACCAUCAGAAUUUUUUUUUUUUUAUACAACUUACAUUUCUCUCAUGAGAGUUUAAGUCUGCUUCCUUGUCUUAUACUCAGGGAAGAUGAAAGGCAGGUAACAUAUCCUGUAAAAUAAUUAACUGUAAGGUUGUUAAGUUAUUCUCCUGCCUUUGCUAUUGCAGUUUAAGUAAACAGUAAAUUAGUUUAAACUUUUCCUACAUCAUUACUUUAGUUAAUGAAUUCUAUUUCUUAGAGCAGUUUUAGAUUGAUAGAAAAAUUAAACAUAGAAUGCAGACAUUUCCCAUCAUCAAUUUAUUUCUAUUUAACUAAAUGGUUAAAAACUCUUAUUCUUUUGAAAACGUCACUAAGGAAUUUAUGUUGUCAAACAAUAAAGCCAUAUUUACUGAUACUGCAUGUAAGGGUUAUGACAACACAAAAGAUGCUGGGAAAAUGGAUGAGCACCUUCAAAUAAUAGUGCAUAAUGAUGUUGGACUAGCUGACAACAUUAAAGUCUGCAAAGGUAAAGGUUAGAAGAGACCUAAUGGCUUCUUCCUCUUUUUUUUUUUUUUUUUUGGCAACGGAGUCUUGCUCUGUCGCCCAGGCUGGAGUGCAGUGGCGUGAUCUCCGCUCACUGCAAGCUCCGCCUCUCAGGUUCAAGCAAUUCUCCUGCCUCAGCUUUUCGAAUAACUGGGAACUACAGUCGCACAUCGCCACACCCGGCUAAUUUUUUUUUGUAUUUUUAGUAGAGACAGAGUUUCACUGUGUUGCCCAUGCUGGUUUUGAACUCCUGAGCUCAAGCAAUCCACCCACCUCGGCCUCCCAAAGUGCUAGGAUUACAGGCGUGAGCCACCGCGCCUGGUCAGCUUCAUUUUUUUAGAAAGAUGUAAUUAUCCAUCUUUAUGUACAGCUGAGGGAAAAUAAAUUAUCUAUACCUACCGUUACUCAUAUUUCAUAAAAUGAGUUGAGACUGUAGAUAUAAUUUCUAAUCUACUCUAAUAUUAUGACAGAUAUUGGAAGGUAAAGGUUGCCAAAUAAAAGUAGUCCAUCAAGAUAUGUAUUUUUCAUGAUUAUGAACUUUUUCAGCAUACAUUUACAUUUAAUUAUGUAUGUACUGUGGAUGUAUUUUUCUUUCACAUAAAAUAAAUGCUCAGUAGAAUUUCUAUAAA
Homo sapiens (human) is the source of this 1727-nucleotide long non-coding RNA. RefSeq lists it as uncharacterized. Lineage: Eukaryota; Metazoa; Chordata; Mammalia; Primates; Hominidae. The record is from RefSeq and is a predicted model, not a curated record. The transcript has 2 exons.